This 1480-nucleotide long non-coding RNA is filed under the name Physcomitrium patens. RNAcentral's name for it is "long non-coding RNA (PPAT_LNC008828)". Lineage: Eukaryota; Viridiplantae; Streptophyta; Bryopsida; Funariales; Funariaceae. The record is from RNAcentral.
CAGUCUCUGCCACUAAAAUCUAAGGUACAUGCACGAUAGUGUCAUAUUCUGGUAUAACUGCACAAAUCAGUCACGGAACAGAGACCAGUUUUAUCUUUCAAUGGGUACGGAAAGCUUGUAACCACUGUUAGAUGAGCUAGAAUUGCUGCUUACUGCUGUACAACAAACAAUCCUUAUCGUCGGAACCUGUUUGUUAAGAUGUCAAGCAAAUCAGUUUCAAAAAUGGUUAUCCGACGAGGAGCAAAAAGGACCUGCCAGACCAGUAACCAGGGAAUUUAUCAUGAAUUGUAUUCUUCGGCCUGAUUAAUGUAAAUUGAGUUGCUGAAUGGGUUUCCAUUUUGUAGACAGACCAUUUUGCUGCGUCCAUAGUUGGAGCCAUCUUGCACAAAACUACCGGUUUCCUACUGGAUUUUAGUGUCUCCUGUAAGCUAGGCCUUAUCUAGAAUAGGAUGCGUCUGUUUUUUCACUUGCUGUGGGUUUCCACAGCUGAUCAUCUCAACGAAACAACCCUAUUAAUUGUGCAUUGUCAAGACGAUUGGGUUGUGUUGGACCUCCAGCUGUGAGCGUCAGAGUUUUCCUAACUACAAUUUUAUCAUCGAGAGUCAACCGACCGUUGUUUCGGUAUUUAUUGGAGUUAGACAAGUUUCGUUUUAAAUGCUGUUCUUUCCUGCACCCAAUUAGAAUCUGCACAGAAGGUUUGUCGAUUAGAUUACAAAGAAGACGCAAUUCCCGUCGUAUUUCAUGCAGCACGGACUGUUACACAGAAAAGCUACGUUAAUUCUCUACCCUUUUAAAAAUGAGGUCAAAUCGUAUUUCUUACAUAUGCAGGCGUUAUUGGUAGCAGAGAAGUAUGUGUUGUUCCACUCUUCGUUGAAUAUCGGAUACUCUGUCGCUCAAUAAUAAUCAACAUUAGCUUCCAGAGUAGUUCAAGGGAGUGGAACGCUGUACUUAAACAAGUUGAAAACAGUCAGUCUUAUCUCAGUGGCUAGGGACUAGCUUUAACAAUAAAAAAAAAGUCAAAUUUCAUAAAUCUGAUUUUGAUGAGACUUCGACAAUGCAGCAUAAAUCUGUGGCCGAAUGGAAGCGUCAAGGAACACAUUAAUUUCUCAGAAAUAACACCCACGUGUUCGGAUACAAGAAUUCGUUGAGCGAUUCUUAUAACUGAAGGGGCAUCGAAAUAUGCACAGAACAAAACUAUGACAGAAUUAGACACGCAAUUCACAGAAUGGAGUGUUUGGCAGUAACAAAACUUAGUUCUACUCAUUCUGCACAUCCCUGAAGAAGAUGCAAUCCAAAUGUGUGGAUGGAACAGAAGUCCAGUUCCCUCCAAAUUCAUAAUCACAGAUUUCCAUGACCCACUUCGAUCCGGAAUUAUUCACCAUGCACAGUGACUUAUUCUUGGAGUGCGCACAGAGCAGAUAUAGCCUAGUUCAACAUGUAGACCAUCUACAUGCAGAAAUAAAAACUAAAUUGGAGUCAA